CAAACUGGGAUUAGAUACCCCACUAUGCCAAGCCGUAAAAUUAACCUACACCAACCAACGCCAGGGAACUACGAGCCUCAGCUUAAAACCCAAAGGACUUGACGGUGUCCCACCCUACUAGAGGAGCCUGUUCUAUAACCGAUAACCCACGCUAUACCCAACCAUUCCUUGCCUCUCAGCCUGUAUACCUCCGUCGCAAGCCUGUCAUGUGAAUGCACAACAGCAAGCCCAACGGCCAAACGCCAAUACGUCAGGUCAAGGUGCAGCUCAUGAAAUGGAAGCCAAUGGGCUACAAUUUCUAUUUUAGAAUAAACGAAAUACUACAUGAAACUAAGUCAUGAAGGCGGAUUUAGCAGUAAAUGGGGAAUAGAGAGCCCCAUUUAACCCGGCCCUGGGACGUGUACACACCGCCCGUCACC
This 419-nucleotide ribosomal RNA is filed under the name Theloderma rhododiscus (Chinese bubble-nest frog). Its description in RNAcentral is "partial 12S ribosomal RNA". It matches the Rfam family "Bacterial small subunit ribosomal RNA", at positions 768 to 1401 of the family's 1533-position model. The record is from RNAcentral. Lineage: Eukaryota; Metazoa; Chordata; Amphibia; Anura; Rhacophoridae.